Molecule: ribosomal RNA, 407 nt
Filed under: uncultured bacterium
Lineage: Bacteria
Description: partial 16S ribosomal RNA
Rfam family: Bacterial small subunit ribosomal RNA
Source: RNAcentral
GACGAACGCUGGCGGCGUGCCUAAUACAUGCAAGUAGACCGCAGUUGCGAACGGGUGAGUAACGCGUCGGUAACUGCCUCAUAGCGGGGGAUAACUAUUGGAAACGCUAGCUAAUACCGCAUACUGUGAGAUGGACCUGCGUUGUAUUAGCUAGUUGGUGAGGUAAAGGCUCACCAAGGCGACGAUACAUAGCCGACCUGCGAGGGGGAUCGACAAACUUGGGAAUGAGAUACGGCCCAGACCCCUCAGGGCAGGAACAGUGAGGAAAGUUGGGCAAUAGACGGAAGUCAGACCUAGCAACGCGGCGUGAGUGAAGAAGGUUUUCGGACCGUAAAACUCUGUUGUUAGAGAAGCGGUAACUACCGAGAAAGGGACGGCUAAUUACGUGCCAGCAGCCGCGGUAAUUC